CCUACGGGGGGCAGCAGUAGGGAAUCUUUCACAAUGGGCGAAAGCCGGAUGGAGCAACGCCGCGUGCAGGAUGAAGGCCUUCGGGUUGUAAACUGCUUUUAUAAGCGAGAAAUAUGAUGGUAACUUAUGAAUAAGGAUCGGCUAACUACGUGCCAGCAGCCGCGGUCAUACGUAGGAUCCGAGCAUUAUCCGGAGUGACUGGGUGUAAAGAGUUGCGUAGGUGGCAUAAUAAGUAGCUAGUGAAAUCUGGUGGCUCAACCAUUCAGACUAUUAGCUAAACUGUUAAGCUCGAGACCGUUAGGGGUAACUGGAAUUUCUAGUGUAGGAGUGAAAUCCGUAGAUAUUAGAAGGAACACCAAUAGCGUAGGCAGGUUGCUGGGACGGUUCUGACACUAAGGCACGAAAGCGUAGGGAGCAAACGGGAUUAGAUACCCGAGUAGUC
RNAcentral lists this ribosomal RNA (442 nucleotides) under uncultured bacterium. RNAcentral describes it as "partial 16S ribosomal RNA". It matches the Rfam family "Bacterial small subunit ribosomal RNA", at positions 338 to 795 of the family's 1533-position model. The record is from RNAcentral.